GAGUAGGUACUGUUACAAUAUAACUGAGGAGUCUUACUGUCAUUCCCCCUGCUUAAAGCAUUUGAUACACAGCUAUCUCUAACUCCUUUUAACAGUAAGACAGAGACUUUUGGUCUCAAACAU
RNAcentral lists this small nucleolar RNA (123 nucleotides) under Carlito syrichta (Philippine tarsier). RNAcentral's name for it is "Small nucleolar RNA SNORA63 (ENSTSYG00000022047.2)". Lineage: Eukaryota; Metazoa; Chordata; Mammalia; Primates; Tarsiidae. The record is from RNAcentral.